UUACGGCCAUAUAACGUUGAAACGUCGGUUCCCAUACGAUCACCGAAGUUAAGCAACGUCGAGCCUGGUCACUAACUAGAUGGGUGACCGUUUGGGAAUACCAGG
Molecule: non-coding RNA, 105 nt
Organism: Acanthosepion pharaonis
Lineage: Eukaryota; Metazoa; Mollusca; Cephalopoda; Sepiida; Sepiidae
Source: the annotation of a GenBank genome assembly